RNAcentral lists this ribosomal RNA (800 nucleotides) under Salipiger sp. RNAcentral describes it as "bacterial SSU rRNA". It matches the Rfam family "Bacterial small subunit ribosomal RNA", at positions 82 to 918 of the family's 1533-position model. Lineage: Bacteria; Pseudomonadati; Pseudomonadota; Alphaproteobacteria; Rhodobacterales; Roseobacteraceae. The record is from RNAcentral.
CACCUUCGGGUGAGCGGCGGACGGGUGAGUAACGCGUGGGAACGUGCCCUUCUCUGCGGAAUAGCCACUGGAAACGGUGAGUAAUACCGCAUACGCCCUUCGGGGGAAAGAUUUAUCGGAGAAGGAUCGGCCCGCGUUAGAUUAGGUAGUUGGUGGGGUAAUGGCCUACCAAGCCUACGAUCUAUAGCUGGUUUGAGAGGAUGAUCAGCCACACUGGGACUGAGACACGGCCCAGACUCCUACGGGAGGCAGCAGUGGGGAAUCUUAGACAAUGGGCGCAAGCCUGAUCUAGCCAUGCCGCGUGAGUGAUGAAGGCCUUAGGGUCGUAAAGCUCUUUCGCUGGGGAAGAUAAUGACUGUACCCAGUAAAGAAACCCCGGCUAACUCCGUGCCAGCAGCCGCGGUAAUACGGAGGGGGUUAGCGUUGUUCGGAAUUACUGGGCGUAAAGCGCGCGUAGGCGGAUCAGAAAGUUGGGGGUGAAAUCCCGGGGCUCAACCUCGGAACUGCCUCCAAAACUCCUGGUCUUGAGUUCGAGAGAGGUGAGUGGAAUUCCGAGUGUAGAGGUGAAAUUCGUAGAUAUUCGGAGGAACACCAGUGGCGAAGGCGGCUCACUGGCUCGAUACUGACGCUGAGGUGCGAAAGUGUGGGGAGCAAACAGGAUUAGAUACCCUGGUAGUCCACACCGUAAACGAUGAAUGCCAGUCGUCGGCAAGCAUGCUUGUCGGUGACACACCUAACGGAUUAAGCAUUCCGCCUGGGGAGUACGGUCGCAAGAUUAAAACUCAAAGGAAUUGACGGGG